This 253-nucleotide ribosomal RNA is filed under the name uncultured bacterium. Its description in RNAcentral is "partial 16S ribosomal RNA". It matches the Rfam family "Bacterial small subunit ribosomal RNA", at positions 524 to 776 of the family's 1533-position model. The record is from RNAcentral.
UACGUAGGGAGCAAGCGUUGUUCGGAUUUACUGGGCGUAAAGGGCGCGUAGGCGGCGCGGUAAGUCACUUGUGAAAUCUCUGAGCUUAACUCAGAACGGCCAAGUGAUACUGCAGUGCUAGAGUGCAGAAGGGGCAAUCGGAAUUCUUGGUGUAGCGGUGAAAUGCGUAGAUAUCAAGAGGAACACCUGAGGUGAAGACGGGUUGCUGGGCUGACACUGACGCUGAGGCGCGAAAGCAUGGGGAGCGAACAGG